This 465-nucleotide ribosomal RNA is filed under the name Vreelandella stevensii. RNAcentral's name for it is "partial 16S ribosomal RNA". It matches the Rfam family "Bacterial small subunit ribosomal RNA", at positions 338 to 795 of the family's 1533-position model. The record is from RNAcentral. Lineage: Bacteria; Pseudomonadati; Pseudomonadota; Gammaproteobacteria; Oceanospirillales; Halomonadaceae.
CCUACGGGAGGCUGCAGUGGGGAAUAUUGGACAAUGGGCGAAAGCCUGAUCCAGCCAUGCCGCGUGUGUGAAGAAGGCCUUCGGGUUGUAAAGCACUUUCAGUGGGGAAGAAAGCCUUGGGGCUAAUACCCUCGAGGAAGGACAUCACCCACAGAAGAAGCACCGGCUAACUCCGUGCCAGCAGCCGCGGUAAUACGGAGGGUGCGAGCGUUAAUCGGAAUUACUGGGCGUAAAGCGCGCGUAGGCGGUCUGAUAAGCCGGUUGUGAAAGCCCCGGGCUCAACCUGGGAACGGCAUCCGGAACUGUCAGGCUAGAGUGCAGGAGAGGAAGGUAGAAUUCCCGGUGUAGCGGUGAAAUGCGUAGAGAUCGGGAGGAGUACCAGUGGCGAAGGCGGCCUUCUGGACUGACACUGACGCUGAGGUGCGAAAGCGUGGGUAGCAAACAGGAUUAGAUACCCCAGUAGUC